AUUGAACGCUGGCGGCAUGCCUUACACAUGCAAGUCGAACGGUAACGGGCCUUCGGGUGCCGACGAGUGGCGAACGGGUGCGUAAUACAUCGGAACGUGCCCGAUCGUGGGGGAUAACGAGGCGAAAGCUUUGCUAAUACCGCAUACGAUCUACGGAUGAAAGCAGGGGACCGCAAGGCCUUGCGCGGACGGAGCGGCCGAUGGCAGAUUAGUUAGUUGGUGGGAUAAAAGCUUACCAAGCCGACGAUCUGUAGCUGGUCUGAGAGGAUGAUCAGCCACACUGGGACUGAGACACGGCCAAGACGACUACGGGAGGCAGCAGUGGGGAAUUUUGGACAAUGGGCGCAAGCAUGAUCCAGCCAUGCCGCGUGCAGGAUGAAGGCCUUCGGGUUGUAAACUGCUUUUGUACGGAACGAAAAGCCUUCUUUUAAUACAGGAGGGUCAUGACGGUACCGUAAGAAUAAGCACCGGCUAACUACGUG
RNAcentral lists this ribosomal RNA (482 nucleotides) under uncultured bacterium. RNAcentral describes it as "partial 16S ribosomal RNA". It matches the Rfam family "Bacterial small subunit ribosomal RNA", at positions 30 to 507 of the family's 1533-position model. The record is from RNAcentral.